This 262-nucleotide unclassified non-coding RNA is filed under the name uncultured fungus. RNAcentral describes it as "partial contains 5.8S ribosomal RNA, internal transcribed spacer 2, and large subunit ribosomal RNA". Lineage: Eukaryota; Fungi. The record is from RNAcentral.
AACGCACAUUGCGCCCGCCAGAACUCUGGCGGUGCAUGCCUGUCCGAGCGUCACUUCCACCCGUCGAGCGCCGCUCGCGUUGGGGCCCUGCGGGCCUGGCCCGCAGCCCCCGAAAGACAGUGGCGGGACCGCCGCCGCGCCGGGCGUAGUAGCGCGAGCCUCGCCCCGGAGGCGUGCGGCGGGCACCCGGCCUGAACCGCUCCGCGAGGAGACGCAGAAACCGGUUGACCUCGGAUCAGGUAGGAAUACCCGCUGAACUUAA